RNAcentral lists this unclassified non-coding RNA (276 nucleotides) under Hevea brasiliensis (rubber tree). The record is from RNAcentral. Lineage: Eukaryota; Viridiplantae; Streptophyta; Magnoliopsida; Malpighiales; Euphorbiaceae.
AAGUAUGAUAUAUCGUACACCCUCUCAAAAGAUACACAAAUUAACAGAAUCAUAUUUCAUCAAACCUUAAAAGUUUUUAACAAUGACGCUAAGACAAAAAGAGCUAUCAACUUUGAAAAUCUAAGCAAGAUACCACAUGCAUUACAUUUGCGAACUUUCCAGCCUUCCCUUUAAUAGCACCUCGGUGAAUACCCAGAUUUAUUUGAAAAUCCUUUUCUAGGCUAAAUAAAUUACGCCCGUGAUCAAAAGGUAGCAGGUGGUUUCUCCAUACUUUUA